GGAAUCCAACCGCGAGGACCUUCAGGAAUUGAGGAAGAGUGCAAAGGGGUCAUUGAAAGAAAUUGGCGAGUUGAAGGCACACAAUCAAGAGCUUGAGGUGAAUUUGUCUCAACUCGAGUCUGAAAAGAUCAGGCUCGAAGCCCAGCGAGGCCAAGACCGCGAUGAGUUUG
Molecule: ribosomal RNA, 170 nt
Filed under: Thalassiosira rotula
Lineage: Eukaryota; Bacillariophyta; Thalassiosirophyceae; Thalassiosirales; Thalassiosiraceae
Description: partial Microsporidia small subunit ribosomal RNA
Source: RNAcentral